Non-coding RNA from Prunus avium (sweet cherry), 547 nucleotides. The record is from RefSeq and is a predicted model, not a curated record. Lineage: Eukaryota; Viridiplantae; Streptophyta; Magnoliopsida; Rosales; Rosaceae.
AAAGAUAACAAGCAUCAUAAACUAGUUAAUGCGCUAAAGUUCAAGGGCUAUUCCAUCUCACCUGACUCAGUUUUCUCAGAAGUUGGGAACAGUGUGGAAUCCAAGGGCAGGGCAAGGCCUGCAGUCUCCAUGAUUGACAUAGACCAAAUUGGUACAACCGAAUUAGGUGAAUAUGAAGUUGUAAUUAUACCCGAUAUGACACUUUCAAUCGAGAGUUACGUUCAAAUCCUCACGAGAAUGGCUCGCUACACUGUGAAUGGCGUAUUGCAUAGCUUGUUUACCAGAGAAGACGCAGAGCUUGCUGGACCGCUGACGAAGAUCCUUGAACAAUGUGGGCAGGCAGUGCCUGAAGCCCUAAGAAAAAUGUCUUUUUCAUAAGCCAUGCCAGAACGUCGACAUUUGAGUUUGCUUUUUUUCCUUUUUCGAUUACCAGUUUUGCCAAAUCUUGUCAGUUUAUGAUAAAUUUCAUCUUGCUAGCUUUGUCAACUUGCGUAAGAACUUCUACAACGAUAUAAUGUUAUAUAUAACACUGAAUUUUCAUUUUCAA